RNAcentral lists this ribosomal RNA (497 nucleotides) under uncultured bacterium. RNAcentral's name for it is "partial 16S ribosomal RNA". It matches the Rfam family "Bacterial small subunit ribosomal RNA", at positions 28 to 507 of the family's 1533-position model. The record is from RNAcentral.
GACGAACGCUGGCGGCGUGCCUAAUACAUGCAAGUUGAGCGCUGAAGGUUGGUACUUGUACCAACUGGAUGAGCAGCGAACGGGUGAGUAACGCGUGGGGAAUCUGCCUUUGAGCGGGGGACAACAUUUGGAAACGAAUGCUAAUACCGCAUAAAAACUUUAAACACAAGUUUUAAGUUUGAAAGAUGCAAUUGCAUCACUCAAAGAUGAUCCCGCGUUGUAUUAGCUAGUUGGUGAGGUAAAGGCUCACCAAGGCGAUGAUACAUAGCCGACCUGAGAGGGUGAUCGGCCACAUUGGGACUGAGACACGGCCCAAACUCCUACGGGAGGCAGCAGUAGGGAAUCUUCGGAAAUGGACGAAAGUCUGACCGAGCAACGCCGCGUGAGUGAAGAAGGUUUUCGGAUCGUAAAACUCUGUUGGUAGAGAAGAACGCUGGUGAGAGUGGAAAGCUCAUCAAGUGACGGUAACUACCCAGAAAGGGACGGCUAACUACGUG